UGUGGUCACAGAGCGGAUCGAAGCAGGGCGGUGGGUUAGGAUUCACACAGGUUAGGGUUUUGAGUCAGCUACGGGGAGGGGGAGGUUUGAGAACUGGCCUCUGGGGCCACAGUGAGGGAAAGGCUCACUUUGGCUAACAAUGCUGAGGCGGGCAGGGCAGAGCAGUCCCAGGGUGUGUUGUCACUUGUCUCUCGUGCUUUCUGUGUCUUCUGUUCAUCUCGUGUAACAUGUCUCUUGCCUUAGUCCUCCCAGGAGCUUAUGAGAAACCCCAGGUCCUUCCGGUCAUCUCCCAUCUUUGUGUUCCUUGGCCCGGGGCCGACGCCGGCGAAGUUUCGAUUCGGGAGCUUGGAGAGGCAUCGGAAUCGCAUCUCUCUUCAGCAGCAUCAGAUCAGAUGUCUUUUUAGGUCUUUGUUCUCAGCUGUGUUGACAGCUGUAUGCUGUAAUCUUUCUUUACAGUGGAUAAGGACUUGUGCCGAUUCAAAGGCAGGCAGAGGCUUCCAGCCACAGGAUUCUCAGGCAUCCAUCUCUGCGGUUCUCGGAAUAAGUUGUUCCGUUAGCAUCUUUUUCCUCCAGGGUCAUCCGAGCCUGGCAGGCUCGCCUUUGGUCCCCCCUCGGUCAUCUUGUUCAGCAUUCUCUCGGUCCUCGUGAGGACUUUCUUGUCUCGGAGUUUUCUCUCCCUGUCGUGUCCCCUCGUCUCACGUGUCAUGGGUGUCUGGGGGUAUUCGGUCUGGAACUGCUCUGCCCUGCCACCCAGCCCGGUUGCAGGUGUUCAAGGACAAGUCCCGGGCACUUGUAAUUGGAGACUUGUAAUACGGGCUGUAGCUGGAGUCUAGGUGGUAUUCUUAUGUUGGCAGAAGGUGUCUGGAGCUGUGAAGUUACCCUGCAGCGCUUUGACUUUUUUCCUAACUUUCUUUCAGAUGCGGAUGGAUUGACCUCCUGGCAGAGCGCCCCAUCCCAGAUGAGGGAAUCCCCCUGAGAAAGAAGUAAAGCCGGAUAGCAGCAGUGAAGGCGAAGCAGGUAGAAGGUGGUCUGCUUGCAAGAUAUCCCAGCCCAGGAUGCCGGAGGACAGGCUCUGUGAAGAGAGGCAGACCUGAAGUUUGCGAUCGGCUGCACCGAAGCCGGCGCGGGGGACAUCUCGAUGUACACAUCCUAUCGAGGAUGGGUUGUGUCCUAUCAUGUUACGAAAGGUCUCCGAUGCCUAUUUUCUGAGGAUCUACCAUUUGAUGUUGAGAACCAGCAGCGAGAAGAUAUCUCGGGGCAUUUUGUUCAGCACAGUGCUUCAAAUAAGGGUUGUGGUCACUGUGUGAGUUAGAGUCUCCUGCUGUGUGUCAGAGUGUGUCUGUCUGUGAGAGUCGGUGGGUCUGGGUGUGCUUGUGUGUGUGUGUUGAGCGGUUCUAACCUUGUGUGCAUUGCUUUUGCUUUUCAGGACUUUA
Long non-coding RNA from Poecile atricapillus (Black-capped chickadee), 1433 nucleotides. RefSeq lists it as uncharacterized. The transcript is spliced from 5 exons. NCBI's taxonomy places the organism in Eukaryota, Metazoa, Chordata, Aves, Passeriformes, Paridae. The record is from RefSeq and is a predicted model, not a curated record.